UUAAAUUGAAGAGUUUGAUCAUGGCUCAGAUUGAACGCUGGCGGCAGGCCUAACACAUGCAAGUCGAACGGUAACAGGAAGCAGCUUGCUGCUUUGCUGACGAGUGGCGGACGGGUGAGUAAUGUCUGGGAAACUGCCUGAUGGAGGGGGAUAACUACUGGAAACGGUGGCUAAUACCGCAUAACGUCGCAAGACCAAAGAGGGGGACCUUCGGGCCUCUUGCCAUCAGAUGUGCCCAGAUGGGAUUAGCUGGUUGGUGAGGUAACGGCUCA
This 272-nucleotide ribosomal RNA is filed under the name Salmonella enterica subsp. enterica serovar Kentucky. RNAcentral's name for it is "partial 16S ribosomal RNA". It matches the Rfam family "Bacterial small subunit ribosomal RNA", at positions 1 to 267 of the family's 1533-position model. The record is from RNAcentral. Lineage: Bacteria; Pseudomonadati; Pseudomonadota; Gammaproteobacteria; Enterobacterales; Enterobacteriaceae. RNAcentral also lists the same sequence under 2 other names.